GACGAACGCUGGCGGCGUGCUUAACACAUGCAAGUCGAGCGACGCUCUUCCUUCGUGGAGAUGACGGAGCGGCGAACGGGUGAGUAACACGUGGGCAACCUGCCCCUAGCUCUGGGACAACACCGGGAAACCGGUGCUAAUACCGGAUACGACAUCGAGCGGCAUCUCUCGAUGUGGAAAGUUUUUUCGGCUAGGGAUGGGCCCGCGGCCUAUCAGCUUGUUGGUGGGGUAAUGGCCCACCAAGGCGACGACGGGUAGCCGGCCUGGGAGGGCGACCGGCCACACUGGGACUGAGACACGGCCCAGACUCCUACGGGAGGCAGCAGUGGGGAAUAUUGCGCAAUGGGCGAAAGCCUGACGCAGCGACGCCGCGUGAGGGAUGACGGCCUUCGGGUUGUAAACCUCUUUCAGCAGGGACGAAUUCAGACGGUACCUGCAGAAGAAGCACCGGCCAACUACGUG
RNAcentral lists this ribosomal RNA (462 nucleotides) under uncultured bacterium. Its description in RNAcentral is "partial 16S ribosomal RNA". It matches the Rfam family "Bacterial small subunit ribosomal RNA", at positions 28 to 507 of the family's 1533-position model. The record is from RNAcentral.